This 790-nucleotide long non-coding RNA is filed under the name Panax ginseng (ginseng). Its description in RNAcentral is "long non-coding RNA (PGIN_LNC016939)". Lineage: Eukaryota; Viridiplantae; Streptophyta; Magnoliopsida; Apiales; Araliaceae. The record is from RNAcentral.
AAAAUUUGCUUCUUUGGGUUUGUUGUUGAGCAAGUAAAUAAAAUUUGCUUCUUUGGAUUUGUUGUUGAGCAAGUAAAUACCUUUUUCCUGGAUCUUACUCUGCCAUCUAUAGUUUGUUUUUUCUUUUCAAAAUCAGGGGUGUUCAGAAAAUUAAUUGGCUGAGUUGUGAUAUUGAGAUGGAGAGGGAUUUCAUGGGUUUAAAUUCAAAAGAUUCUGUGAUUUGUUUAGGAAAUCACAGAGAAAAAACCGGAGAAGAAAUCGCCGGAGAAGAAGUCGCCGGUGUUGUCUCCUUCCUCCCUGUCGACGCUGUUUUUUCUCUCCUCCACCACCCCCAACCCUUCUCUCUCAGCCCAAAUUGUUAUCAUUGCACUGGAAUGGGCUUCUGGCCCGAGUUGAAGUUAAGGCCCGAAAUAACUCUUCUUCUACUCAAAAACAGACUCCACCCAGUUCCAGCAAGCAGUUGCAUGUUUUAGUUUGAUUCUUUAUUCAAUUAAUUACUGGUAAUUCAUUGCAAGAAUUGAUUUUUACUUUUAAUGGUAGCUGUUGAAAUUGUAUUAAUUUCAUAUGAUUGUAAGGCCCGAGAUGGACUAGUGUGAUGGAGGAAGUUGAAAUGGUUUGCUAGAUAUAUGAUCAGUUUGGAUUUUAUUUUUGUUUAAAUUUAGUUUAAUUAAUAUAAAAUGUUAUAUUACUUUUUUGCUCUUUAAAGUCAAUAAAAUAAUUUAAAGAUUAGCCUUGUUUUUAAACGUAAGCACUGUAUUACCACGUGGCCAUGCCACACCAGUAAUUUCUG